AAAUAGUAACACAAUAGACGAGAUACGUGUAGAAU
Molecule: non-coding RNA, 35 nt
Filed under: Trypanosoma brucei brucei
Lineage: Eukaryota; Euglenozoa; Kinetoplastea; Trypanosomatida; Trypanosomatidae
Source: RNAcentral